AUACAGAGGGUGCAAGCGUUAAUCGGAUUUACUGGGCGUAAAGCGCGCGUAGGUGGCUAAUUAAGUCAAAUGUGAAAUCCCCGAGCUUAACUUGGGAAUUGCAUUCGAUACUGGUUAGCUAGAGUAUGGGAGAGGAUGGUAGAAUUCCUGGUGUAGCGGUGAAAUGCGUAGAGAUCUGGAGGAAUACCGAUGGCGAAGGCAGCCAUUUGGCCUAAUACUGACACUGAGGUGCGAAGGCAUGGGGAGCAAACAGGAUUAGAUACCCUGGUGGUCCAUGCCGUAAACGAUGUCUACUAGCCGUUGGGGCCCUUGAGGCUUUAGUGGCGCAGCUAACGCGAUAAGUAGACCGCCUGGGGAGUACGGUCGCAAGACUAAAACUCAAAUGAAUUGACGGGG
This 396-nucleotide ribosomal RNA is filed under the name uncultured bacterium. RNAcentral describes it as "partial 16S ribosomal RNA". It matches the Rfam family "Bacterial small subunit ribosomal RNA", at positions 523 to 918 of the family's 1533-position model. The record is from RNAcentral.